RNAcentral lists this ribosomal RNA (377 nucleotides) under uncultured bacterium. RNAcentral describes it as "bacterial SSU rRNA". It matches the Rfam family "Bacterial small subunit ribosomal RNA", at positions 521 to 896 of the family's 1533-position model. The record is from RNAcentral.
UAAGACAGAGGUGCCGAGCGUUAGGCGGAAUCACUGGGCUUAAAGCGUGUGUAGGCGGAUCGUUAAGUACCUUGUGAAAUCCCACGGCUCAACCGUGGAACGGCUGGGUAUACUGGCGAUCUUGGGCCACUCAGGGGCGAGCGGAACAAGUGGUGGAGCGGUGAAAUGCGUAGAUAUCACUUGGAACGCCGACGGUGAAAACAGCUCGCUGGGAGUGUGCCGACGCUGAGACACGAAAGCCAGGGGAGCGAACGGGAUUAGAUACCCCGGUAGUCCUGGCCCUAAACGAUGUCCACUAGAUCAUGGCGGCUCUGACGUCGUCAUGGUCGAAGCAAAAGUGAUAAGUGGACCGCCUGGGAAGUACGGUCGCAAGGCUA